RNAcentral lists this transfer RNA (854 nucleotides) under uncultured Synechococcus sp. Its description in RNAcentral is "partial contains 16S ribosomal RNA, 16S-23S ribosomal RNA intergenic spacer, and 23S ribosomal RNA". The stretch from base 286 to 358 matches the Rfam family "tRNA". The record is from RNAcentral. Lineage: Bacteria; Bacillati; Cyanobacteriota; Cyanophyceae; Synechococcales; Synechococcaceae.
UUGGAUCACCUCCUAACAGGGAGAACCAACUUCAGAUGAUGAUCACUUUUUUUUAUGUGAUCCAUUUGACUGUUCAACCCUAUGGUCGAUCGGUACCUCAGUCAUUCAAGCGAGAGUUUGAGUGAAUUCGGUCCUUAAGCUUGUCUAGGUCACCACACCAGAAGCUGAUAGGCCUUUGGGCGAUGGGCCCGAGAGGGUUCCUGGGCCAUUAGCUCAGGUGGUUAGAGCGCACCCCUGAUAAGGGUGAGGUCCCUGGUUCAAGUCCAGGAUGGCCCAUUCGGUGUUGGGGGUUUAGCUCAGUUGGUAGAGCGCCUGCUUUGCAAGCAGGAUGUCAGGAGUUCGAGUCUCCUAACCUCCACUGACCGAACUGUAUCUCCAUCUCCAAGAUGUUGGAGUUGAGCUCGAUUGGAGUGUGAUUUAGAUGUGUCCGCUGGAAGACCCCAGCUUCCUGUCAUUCCAAAGACAAGUAAAAAGUUUACUUGUUGACUUUGGUUGAUAAGAUGCUGGGCUCAAAUGAGUUGAUCAAGCAAUUGAUCAAUUGAUUUGAAGUUCUAGCAGAACCUUGACAACUGCAUAGGUAAGUCUGGAAAGAAUAAAGCAUCUCAUGGAUGAUGCGAUGAUUCUUUUCUGUGAUCCGAAAGGAUGAUGGAGAAGGAGAGUUGCAAAUUCUAUCGAGCAAGAGCCGAGACUCCAUCACGUUCUUUCAAUUGUGUCGAGCAAUUGCGAGUCUGAUUCUUGAUUCAACAAUGAAUCAGGGAGAAUCUGUUUCAACGACAGCAAGCGUGUUGGAGAUUAUAUGGUCAAGCUACAAAGAGCUCACGGCGGAUACCUUGGCACACAGAGGCGAUGAAGGA